GUCCUCUGUAGCUCAGUUGGUUAGAGCACUGCACCGGAAUCGCAGGGCCGCAGGUUCAAUUCCUGUCAGGGACC
Molecule: transfer RNA, 74 nt
Filed under: Paramuricea clavata
Lineage: Eukaryota; Metazoa; Cnidaria; Anthozoa; Malacalcyonacea; Plexauridae
Description: tRNA-Ser
Rfam family: tRNA
About the family: Transfer RNA (tRNA) molecules are approximately 80 nucleotides in length. Their secondary structure includes four short double-helical elements and three loops (D, anti-codon, and T loops).
Source: RNAcentral